GGAGGUAGUGACAAUAAAUCUCAAUACGAAGCCUUUGGUUUUGUAAUUGAAUUGAGAACAAUGUACAAUCGUUAUCGAUAAACAAUUGGAGGGCAAGUCUGGUGCCAGCAGCCGCGGUAAUUCCAGCUCCAAUAGCGUAUAUUAACGUUGUUGCAGUUAAAAAGCUCGUAGUUGAAGUUUAGAUGGUUUGAAGGGGGUGUUAGUAUCAAUGGUACUAUCUGCUCUCUUUGGAUUAUCGACUUCCAGGUAAGUAUAAUGUACCUUUCGGGGUUCGUUAUACCAGACUGGUCCUUUACUGUGAGAAAAUUAGAGUGUUUAAAGCAAACUAUUGAUGUUUGAAUAGAUUAGCAUGGAAUAAUAAGAUUGGCUUUCAUAGUCGAUUUUUUGGUUUGUUUAUGAAAGCAAGAUUAAUAGGGACAGUUGGGGGUAUUCAUAUUCAAUAGCUAGAGGUGAAAUUCUAUGAUUUAUGGAAGAUGAACAAGUGCGAAAGCA
Molecule: ribosomal RNA, 492 nt
Filed under: Blastocystis sp.
Lineage: Eukaryota; Bigyra; Opalinata; Blastocystidae
Description: SSU rRNA
Rfam family: Eukaryotic small subunit ribosomal RNA
Source: RNAcentral